UUAAGUGUAACAGAAGUUUUCUAUUUUCUUGUUCAAAAUACAUCUGACACUUGAAAACAUUUAUUCAUCAUGUUUCAUAUGUAUACAUUGCAGGUGUGCCAGGUGGGUCCAGAAUCUAAGGAAUGCAUCCCUUCAUGGCAUACCUUUGGAUCAGCUGCAUCGGACCUACAGGGUGUGCAGUGCCCAUUUCCACAGCAGCCAGUUCAAAAGACCAUCUGAUGUCCAUGGUGGGCUGAACUGGGAUGCUGUGCCCACAAGAAUACAGGCCCCUAACCCACCUCCCCCACUAGAUGUCGAGAGGAAGCGUAAACCUCCGAAGACACGCCAGGAGUUGCCACGUAAAAAACGCAAGCAGAGUCAAGUUCCUGCUCCCUCCAAAGACCAGCACACCGGGAAGCUGUAGCGGGGCCUUCAUCACGGGCUCACUACCCUGAGGAAGCUGUAGCGGGGCCUUCAUCAAUCAGUUAUUGUUCAUUUUUAGAAAUCUAUACAAAACUUGAACUGGCUAGGAGCUGACUAAUGCUUCCAUUCUAUGUCAGUGCCUCUUCUCUCACAAAAAGAAAAAAAUACAACAAAACUUAAAUGCUCACACAAUAGAUGGUGGUGUCUGAUUAAUUACUGAGAUCUUAUGGCUCCAUUUUAGUACUGUUUAUAGUUCAUGUGUGCACUUGCUAGAUGCACAUUUUUUUUGUACCUUUCCGCCUGUAAUAGGACAUUCA
This is a non-coding RNA of Misgurnus anguillicaudatus (oriental weatherfish), 719 nucleotides long. The record is from RefSeq and is a predicted model, not a curated record. Lineage: Eukaryota; Metazoa; Chordata; Actinopteri; Cypriniformes; Cobitidae.